AGACGGUGCUGCUGUUCUUACCCAAAACAAAUGGACCACUACUCUCCGGCGAGAAGACGGUGGCGGAGUUCUUCCACCACCAACCACCACCGCGCGGUGUCGUCUGGAAUCGAGCUCAACAACAACAGAAGAGAAUUUAGAGCGGAAUGAUUGCAUCUCUAAUGAGAAGGUAUGUUGUCCAUCCCAACUGAAAAUACAUCGAUCUGGAUCUGGGAGCUGUCAGAUCUCGGGUUACCUUGUUGACAGUACAAUUUCUGUAUUGUAGCGAACUGGUUAACAGUUACUCCCUCUGUCCCAAAAUAUAAGAACGUUUUUAACACUACACUAGUGUCAAAAACGUUCUUAUAUUAUGAGACGGAGGGAGUAGUUUAGAACGGCCGAUUCGGCUGCCAGCACUUGAUGAAGUUGUAAAGAGCCAGGAGCUUGAUGACUCUCCAAGCGAAGAGACCCAGAUCGAUCUUGUGCGUGACGUUUCCGAAGAAGACGACUCUGUUGCAACUAGAUCUUCAGGAGGGUGGAUCAGAAGGCCGAGGCAUGGGGUCAUGCCAGAUGAAAGAAAGACUAAACCAGAUAGAGUUGCACCUCUGGAGCAGGCUUCGAGAGGGUCUUCUACCAGGAAAACAGAUGCAGUGGUUGCACCUUCGGUUGGUCUGGUUUUUGAUUCUUUGGGUGAAGCUUAUGAUUUCUACAACCUAUAUUCUUGGGAGCUAGGAAUUGGCAUCAGAUACGGGAAAAGCAGAACCAACGUCAGGGGAACAAAAUGCAUGCAAGACCUUCUCUGUGGUUAUUCUAUAAGUUUUUCUGACAGUAAUUUAUGUUCAUUUACCGAAGAGUUAUAGUGCAGCUAACUGUGAAUUUUAUAAUUAGGGGAAACCAAAGAAAACUAAUACCACUUCCUGCCGUUGUGAAUGCCCCUCCAUGUUACGCCUUCUAAGAACAGAAGAUCAAGGAUGGUUUAUCUGUGAGUAUAGGAAUGUGCACAAUCACGCUAUGCUAGCAAAUUGUGCAGAUAAGUUGCAUUUCCAGUCACAUCGUCAUAUUGACAAAUACACUAGAGAGCUUGUGUCUCAGCUUCGUGAGAAUAACAUAAAUCUAAGCAAAGUUUAAAGUAUAAUUGGCACGUUUUUUGGUAGAAUAGAGAAUGUACCUUUCACUAAAAGGUGCCUUAGGACGCUAUGUGGAAAAAUAAGCAAGGAACAGGCGGAUGACGAUGUUAGGAAAACUAUGGAUUUGUUUUCAGAUUUGAAAGAAAGAGACAGUGAGUUCCAGUAUAUAGUUCAAGUAGACACCGAGAGUAGGAUAAGAACAAUUAUGUGGACUAAUGGACGUAGCAAGCUCCAGUACCAUCAUUUUGGCCAUGUCGUUACAUUCGAUACAACAUAUAAGACCAACCUGUACGAUAUGCCUUUCGGAUUGUUUGUUGGAGUAAACAAUCACUUCCAUAGUGUGCUUUAUGCCGGUGUCUUGAUGCGUGAUGAGAAAGUAGAGAGCUUUGAAUGGGUUUUCAGCGGAUUUCUAAAGAUGAUGGGCGGGAAGAAACCAGUUACAAUUUUAACAGAUCAAGCUAGGGCUAUGGAGGUUGCGAUUAUGAAUGUAUUCCCUGGGACGACUCACCGAUGGUGCAACUGGCAUGUGUUAAAAAAAGCAAAGGAGUCACUAGGGAGCAAUUAUACAAAGAAGUCAGACUUCAGGACAGAGAUUCACCGUCUUUGUGACGAAAUGCUGACUAUAGAAGAAUUAGAAAAAGGGUGGUCCAAUUUAAUUGUGAAGUACGGGUUGGCGAGUAACACAUUCCUAGCUCAAGUUUACGAGGUUAGGGAGAAAUGGGCCAAACCAUAUUUCAGUGGGAAAUUCUGUGCAAAAAUGACAAGAACACAACGGAGUGAGAGUGCGAACCACAUGCUUAAAAACUAUGUGCCACCAGCAUGUCCAAUGAACGUUUUCGUUAAGCAGUAUGGCAAGCUACAGUAUGACAGAGAGCAGGAGGAAGGAUUUCAAGAGAAAAGGACAAGGCUGGUAUGUUUUCUAGAAUUAUACAAACAUAUUUUGUAUGCAACUUGAACUGGCACUUUUCACUUUAAACUGCAGGGGGGCUGUUAUAAAAUCUAAUCUCCCAAUUGAGUGUCACGCAAGCAAGAUAUAUACCAGAACAAUGUUUGAGAUGUUUGGAAGGGUUCUUUAUGUAGAUGGUUACUAUGAUGUUGAAGAGAUAGAACCAAGAAGGAAAUAUGCAGCCAUACACGGUAACCCUGAGCAGAGAGAUCCCUCUGGUUCAAGAAUAGGUAUGAGGUUGUUAUAUCUGAAGAUCAAACAAAGUACACUUGUGAGUGUGGAAGAUAUGAACACAUGGGAAUGAUUUGUUGUCAUAUACUUAAGGUAUUUUCUGACUUUUUUUUAAAUCGGACUAAUGAUUAUUAUACAUUUUAACUGAUGAUCUUUUCGUCUGUAAGUAAUGAUCAUACUAGAUGUUAAGAAAAUCCCGAAAGCACACAUAAUGAAGAGAUGGACAGUAGAUGCUCAUGAUGUUUUGCCUGAUCAUAUCAAGCAUUACCAGAGAGACAUGGGUCCACCGGAUGCAAUGACAUUCAGGCAUUCUGCGAUGUACAUAACUGCAUUGCAGAUUAAUUGUUCAUCUUGGGGACAGUAAUGUAGAGGCUUUCGAGUCCGUUAUGAGUGGGCUGUGUGAUUUGAAGCAGAGAGCAAUGUCAUUGAGCAUGGAAAAAAAAGGACUAAGCGUGGUUGAGAAGGCUAAGGCAUCUAGCAUGACCAACUCGGUUGGUUCUAGGGUUUCUUGCAAAACACUAAAAACAAAGCACCCAAGCGUUUCUAAAGAAACAAUUUCUAAAUCGUCUCAUAUCAAUCUUGUGGACCAGAGCUGCAAUGGUAAUGUUGAGGUCUCUUCAAGAGAGGUCAUGUUAGCACCGGAAAGGCAUAUGAAGAGGGGGUACCCAAGCACAUCGCGUGAAAAAGCGCCUUAUGAAGAUUCACAUUAGCGAACACGAUUAUGUAGUAUUUGUCGUGGUAAAGGACACAAGAGUACUACAUGUCCACAGAGGGGUGAUCUACCAGUGAAACCAAGGAAAGAGACACUUUGUAGCAAUUGCAAGGUUGCUGGACACAGGAAGAACAACUGCUCCAAGAAAAUGGCCAGUUUCAUGGAAGGGAUGAAUACAUUCCCCGGCAUGUCUUCCAUGGAUGGUGAAGACAAUGACUAGAUGUUUUUGUGAACAAGUGGUGAUUUUAUGUAUCAAUGUUUAAAAUGGAAGAGACAUCUAGAUUUAUGUAUGAACUGAGUUAUUUGUUGAAGCAAUCCUUUAUAUGCUAGCAAUAGGAAAGUUGGAAACAAUGUUGUUUUUUUGCAUAACACAAAAAGAAUUGUGCAACAACCAUUUUGACAACCAAUUAACGAUGAUAAUGCAUGCUACCCUGAAGAAAAAAAUGCAAGGCAAGCAUUAAUUAGGCCUGUGAGUGGUUAGAAUGCAGAAGUUAAUGUUAUUUGAAAUUUGAACUUCAUUCUUUGGAGCGGUGGUGGCACUCUGUAGUCUAUAUAAGUUCAAUGGUUUGCUUUGGGGAGGAAGCAAACAUCAGCAGUUGGGGGAGGAAGCUUGGAGGAGCCACGCAUGGAACAUCAGAAGGCAGAUACAACUGUAGAAGUUGUUCACAAUGUUAUGUUUAGUUGCGUUGGGGUUAUUAUGAUGAAUGAGAGCAGUGAGGACGAUCAUGUUGACGAUCUUUCGGAGUGUGUUGAAUCAAACUUUGUUAAAGAGGGAAAUCUACUACUGUGCUCUAACACGAGAGCAAUACUGUCGACGCCAGCAAAUCAACUAAACAGCGACAGAUUGAUGAUUGCUGGGGAGAACAUGAUCCAUUUACAGGCUCAAGCGGUGGAGAGAAAGAGAGCGAUAUUGAAGGUGGAUAGUGCAACAGAGGAGGGGUCUGGCUGCUGCUCAGUUGCAGUACAAGUCGAAGAGUUUGAAGAUGAAGAUGAGAUUGACAGCCAUAUGUGCAAGAGGCAGAGGAGUUAAUUAUUUUAGAACCCUGUUGUUAGUGUUUGAAACUUUCACUCGAAUCCAGUGUAAUAAAUCAAAUUAGCCAAAAAAUGUAAUGUGUUUCUGUC
This is a long non-coding RNA of Triticum dicoccoides, 4117 nucleotides long. RefSeq lists it as uncharacterized. The transcript has 6 exons. The record is from RefSeq and is a predicted model, not a curated record. Lineage: Eukaryota; Viridiplantae; Streptophyta; Magnoliopsida; Poales; Poaceae.